CCCCAGUGGCGCGCAAUGGAUAGCGCGUCGGACUUCUAAUCCGGAGGUUGAGGGUUAGAGUCCCUCCUGGGGUA
Macrostomum lignano is the source of this 74-nucleotide non-coding RNA. The record is from Rfam. Lineage: Eukaryota; Metazoa; Platyhelminthes; Macrostomidae.